GCAUUAAUGGGGUAGUGGUAACCUGGGUCGUUGCCAUAUCGUGAUAGUAUGAGCGUUAUCUACUAUCGACCCGCCGGGGGUUCGAUUCCCUCUUAAUGCA
Molecule: non-coding RNA, 100 nt
Organism: Paramarasmius palmivorus
Lineage: Eukaryota; Fungi; Basidiomycota; Agaricomycetes; Agaricales; Marasmiaceae
Source: the annotation of a GenBank genome assembly